GCCACCCCUCACCCAGUUCGACGCUGUUUUCCAGGAAACCUCCGUGUUCCAGGAGGCCGUAGCUGCCCUGCCCGUCACAAGGAUGCCGCCGCCCCUCGCCCAGCUCGAUGGCUUAUUGCUACUACAACGCGGUGGGAUAACAUCACUACAGAUGGAAGGUAUCAAACUGACCAACUCAUCUCAAAUACUAUGAAGAAAUGAGUUUACAAAUGACAUGAAUAGUUCAGUGUGAAACAUCAAGACAGAUCGAGAGGGUGUUUGCCUAGACCUAUAAUUUAUCCACGAUCUGGAUUAUGUUGGUAAUCAGGGGUAUGUGUCUAUGCUCUCUUAGGAAUGGAUUUCUUUGCUUUCAUGAACGGGUCAGAUACAUGGAUUUUUGUCCUCAGCACCACCAAGGUAUUCUAUGUUGGCCAGAAGAAUAAAGGAUCGUUACUCCAGUUUUCUAGCUGGUGGAGCAAUAACGGCUGCUGGAAGAUUAGUGGUCAAAGACGGAAUUUUAAAGGCAAUAUGGCCAUACAAU
Long non-coding RNA from Lolium rigidum, 520 nucleotides. RefSeq lists it as uncharacterized. Lineage: Eukaryota; Viridiplantae; Streptophyta; Magnoliopsida; Poales; Poaceae. The record is from RefSeq and is a predicted model, not a curated record. The transcript has 5 exons.